This 857-nucleotide ribosomal RNA is filed under the name Escherichia coli. Its description in RNAcentral is "partial 23S ribosomal RNA". It matches the Rfam family "Bacterial large subunit ribosomal RNA", at positions 2065 to 2916 of the family's 2925-position model. Lineage: Bacteria; Pseudomonadati; Pseudomonadota; Gammaproteobacteria; Enterobacterales; Enterobacteriaceae. The record is from RNAcentral.
UGUACCCGCGGCAAGACGGAAAGACCCCGUGAACCUUUACUAUAGCUUGACACUGAACAUUGAGCCUUGAUGUGUAGGAUAGGUGGGAGGCUUUGAAGUGUGGACGCCAGUCUGCAUGGAGCCGACCUUGAAAUACCACCCUUUAAUGUUUGAUGUUCUAACGUUGACCCGUAAUCCGGGUUGCGGACAGUGUCUGGUGGGUAGUUUGACUGGGGCGGUCUCCUCCUAAAGAGUAACGGAGGAGCACGAAGGUUGGCUAAUCCUGGUCGGACAUCAGGAGGUUAGUGCAAUGGCAUAAGCCAGCUUGACUGCGAGCGUGACGGCGCGAGCAGGUGCGAAAGCAGGUCAUAGUGAUCCGGUGGUUCUGAAUGGAAGGGCCAUCGCUCAACGGAUAAAAGGUACUCCGGGGAUAACAGGCUGAUACCGCCCAAGAGUUCAUAUCGACGGCGGUGUUUGGCACCUCGAUGUCGGCUCAUCACAUCCUGGGGCUGAAGUAGGUCCCAAGGGUAUGGCUGUUCGCCAUUUAAAGUGGUACGCGAGCUGGGUUUAGAACGUCGUGAGACAGUUCGGUCCCUAUCUGCCGUGGGCGCUGGAGAACUGAGGGGGGCUGCUCCUAGUACGAGAGGACCGGAGUGGACGCAUCACUGGUGUUCGGGUUGUCAUGCCAAUGGCACUGCCCGGUAGCUAAAUGCGGAAGAGAUAAGUGCUGAAAGCAUCUAAGCACGAAACUUGCCCCGAGAUGAGUUCUCCCUGACUCCUUGAGAGUCCUGAAGGAACGUUGAAGACGACGACGUUGAUAGGCCGGGUGUGUAAGCGCAGCGAUGCGUUGAGCUAACCGGUACUAAUGAACCGUGAGG